GAUGAACGCUAGCUACAGGCUUAACACAUGCAAGUCGAGGGGUAACGAGAGGAAAGCUUGCUUUCCUUGUCGACGACCGGCGCACGGGUGAGUAACGCGUAUCCAACCUGCCCCUAACUAAGGAAUAACCUUGCGAAAGUAAGACUAAUACCUUAUAAUUUCCUCAGAUGACAUCUGACGAGGAAUAAAGAUUUAUCGGUUGUGGAUGGGGAUGCGUCUGAUUAGCUUGUUGGCGGGGUAACGGCCCACCAAGGCAACGAUCAGUAGGGGUUCUGAGAGGAAGGUCCCCCACAUUGGAACUGAGACACGGUCCAAACUCCUACGGGAGACAGCAGUGAGGAAUAUUGGUCAAUGGGCGGAAGCCUGAACCAGCCAAGUAGCGUGCAGGAUGACGGCCCUAUGGGUUGUAAACUGCUUUUAUACAGGAAUAAAGUUAGCCACGUGUGGUUAUUUGUAGGUACUGUAUGAAUAAGGACCGGCUAAUUCCGUGCCAGCCGCCGCGGUAA
RNAcentral lists this ribosomal RNA (506 nucleotides) under uncultured bacterium. RNAcentral describes it as "partial 16S ribosomal RNA". It matches the Rfam family "Bacterial small subunit ribosomal RNA", at positions 28 to 523 of the family's 1533-position model. The record is from RNAcentral.